RNAcentral lists this ribosomal RNA (119 nucleotides) under Arabis alpina (gray rockcress). The record is from RNAcentral. Lineage: Eukaryota; Viridiplantae; Streptophyta; Magnoliopsida; Brassicales; Brassicaceae.
GGGUGCGAUCAUACCAGCACUAAUGCACCGGAUCCCAUCAGAACUUCGCAGUGAAGCGUGCUUGGGCGAGAGUAGUACUAGGAUGGGUGACCUCCUGGGAAGUCCUCGUGUUGCCUACC